This 483-nucleotide ribosomal RNA is filed under the name uncultured Haloferula sp. RNAcentral's name for it is "bacterial SSU rRNA". It matches the Rfam family "Bacterial small subunit ribosomal RNA", at positions 29 to 505 of the family's 1533-position model. The record is from RNAcentral. Lineage: Bacteria; Pseudomonadati; Verrucomicrobiota; Verrucomicrobiia; Verrucomicrobiales; Verrucomicrobiaceae.
AACGAACGCUGGCGGCGUGUUUAAGACAUGCAAGUCGUACGGGGAAUGAGGAUAGCUUGCUAAUUUCAUUCCUAGUGGCGCACGGGUGAGUAACACGUGAGUAACAUGCCUCGUAGAGGGGAAUAGCCCGCCGAAAGGCGGAUUAAUACCCCAUGGUCCCGCAAGGGUAAAGGUGGCUUCGGCUAUCGCUACGAGAUUGGCUCGCGUCCUAUCAGCUUGUUGGUGAGGUAACGGCUCACCAAGGCGACGACGGGUAGCUGGUCUGAGAGGACGAUCAGUCACACUGGAACUGAGACACGGUCCAGACACCUACGGGUGGCAGCAGUCGAGAAUAAUUCACAAUGGGGGCAACCCUGAUGGUGCAACGCCGCGUGGAGGAUGAAGGCCCUAGGGUCGUAAACUCCUGUCAUUUGAGAGUAAGACCUGGUCGUUAAUAGCGGACAGGGUUGAUAGUAUCAAAAGAGGAAGGGACGGCUAACUUCG